This 467-nucleotide ribosomal RNA is filed under the name uncultured bacterium. RNAcentral describes it as "partial 16S ribosomal RNA". It matches the Rfam family "Bacterial small subunit ribosomal RNA", at positions 28 to 506 of the family's 1533-position model. The record is from RNAcentral.
GACGAACGCUGGCGGCGUGCUUAACACAUGCAAGUCGAACGGAAAGGCCCUGCUUUUGUGGGGUGCUCGAGUGGCGAACGGGUGAGUAACACGUGAGUAACCUGCCCUUGACUUUGGGAUAACUUCAGGAAACUGGGGCUAAUACCGGAUAGGAGCUCCUGCUGCAUGGUGGGGGUUGGAAAGUUUCGGCGGUUGGGGAUGGACUCGCGGCUUAUCAGCUUGUUGGUGGGGUAGUGGCUUACCAAGGCUUUGACGGGUAGCCGGCCUGAGAGGGUGACCGGCCACAUGGGGACUGAGAUGCGGCCCAGACGCCUACGGGGGGCAGCAGUGGGGAAUAUUGCACAAUGGGCGGAAGCCGGAUGCAGCAACGCCGCGUGCGGGAUGACGGCCUUCGGGUUGUAAACCGCUUUCGCCUGUGACGAGGCGUGAGUGACGGUAAUGGGUAAAGAAGAACGGGCUAACUACGU